UUGCCCUAGUAACGGCGAGUGAAGCGGCAACAGCUCAAAUUUGAAAUCUGGCCCUCGCGGUCCGAGUUGUAAUUUGUAGAGGAUGCUUUUGGUGCGGCGCCUUCCGAGUUCCCUGGAACGGGACGCCGGAGAGGGUGAGAGCCCCGUACGGUUGGACGCCUAGCCUCUGUAUAGCUCCUUCGACGAGUCGAGUAGUUUGGGAAUGCUGCUCUAAAUGGGAGGUAAAUUUCUUCUAAAGCUAAAUACCGGCCAGAGACCGAUAGCGCACAAGUAGAGUGAUCGAAAGAUGAAAAGCACUUUGAAAAGAGGGUUAAAUAGCACGUGAAAUUGUUGAAAGGGAAGCGUUUGCGACCAGACCUUCUCCGGGGGGAUCAUCCGGCGUUCUCGCCGGUGCACUUCCCCCGGUUUAGGCCAGCAUCGGUUUCCUUAGGGGGAUAAAGGCCUGGGGAACGUAGCUCUUUAGGGAGUGUUAUAGCCCCUUGCGUAAUACCCCUCGGGGGACCGAGGACCGCGCUCUGCAAGGAUGCUGGCGUAAUGGUCGUCAACGACCCGUCUUGAAACACGGACCAAGGAGUCGAACAUUUGUGCGAGUGUUUGGGUGUUAAACCCUCACGCGUAAUGAAAGUGAACGGAGGUGAGAGCCCUCACGGGUGCAUCAUCGACCGAUCCUGAUGUCUUCGGAUGGAUUUGAGUAAGAGCAUAACUGUUCGGACCCGAAAGAUAGUGAACUAUGCGUGGAUAGGGUGAAGCCAGAGGAAACUCUGGUGGAGGCUCGCAGCGGUUCUGACGUGCAAAUCGAUCGUCAAAUCUGCGCAUGGGGGCGAAAGACUAUCG
Molecule: ribosomal RNA, 834 nt
Filed under: Hypoxylon sp. 1 HZ-2021
Lineage: Eukaryota; Fungi; Ascomycota; Sordariomycetes; Xylariales; Hypoxylaceae
Also listed under: 1 other name
Description: partial large subunit ribosomal RNA
Rfam family: Eukaryotic large subunit ribosomal RNA
Source: RNAcentral